RNAcentral lists this ribosomal RNA (950 nucleotides) under Aphelonotus fraterculus. Its description in RNAcentral is "bacterial SSU rRNA". It matches the Rfam family "Eukaryotic small subunit ribosomal RNA", at positions 425 to 1272 of the family's 1831-position model. The record is from RNAcentral. Lineage: Eukaryota; Metazoa; Arthropoda; Insecta; Hemiptera; Pachynomidae.
GCAGCAGGCACGCAAAUUACCCAAUGCCGGCACGGUGAGGUAGUGACAAAAAAUAACGAUACGGGACUCUAUUGAGGCCCCGUAAUCGGAAUGAGUACACUUUAAAUUCUUUAACAAAAAUCCAUUGGAGGGCAAGUCUGGUGCCAGCAGCCGCGGUAAUUCCAGCUCCAAUAGCGUAUAUUAAAGUUGUUGCGGUUAAAAAGCUCGUAGUUGGUUCUGCGUGCCACGCUGUCGGUUCGCCGCCUGUCGGUGCAACUGGCAUGUUGUGGCAUGUCAUGUCGGUGGUAAACGGGAUUGUCUUACAGCGGGUACUCAGGGGUAGGCGCAUCGUCGCUGAACCUGGCCGCAAGGCGAUCGUGUUUACCGACCUUGUAUCCUACUUCGGUGCUCUUAAACGAGUGUCGUGGUAGGCCGGCACGUUUACUUUGAACAAAUUAGAGUGCUUCAAGCAGGCUAAAAAUACUGCCUAAAUAGUGGUGCAUGGAAUAAUGGAAUAGGACCUUGGUUCUGUUUUGUUGGUUUUCGGAACACAAGGUAAUGAUCAAUAGGGACAGGCGGGGGCAUUCGUAUUGCGGCGUUAGAGGUGAAAUUCUUGGAUCGUCGCAAGACGUACAAGAGCGAAAGCAUUUGCCAAGUAUGUCCUGAUUGAUCAAGAACGAAAGUUAGAGGCUCGAAGGCGAUCAGAUACCGCCCUAGUUCUAACCAUAAACGAUGCCAGCCAGCGAUCCGCCGAUAUUCCUAUGAUGAUUCGACGGGGAGCUUCUAUCCCGGGAAACCAAAGCUUUUGGGUUCCGGGGGAAGUAUGGUUGCAAAGCUGAAACUUAAAGGAAUUGACGGAAGGGCACCACCAGGAGUGGAGCCUGCGGCUUAAUUUGACUCAACACGGGUAACCUCAUCAGGUCAGGACAUUGGAAGGAUUGACAGAUUGAUAGCUCUUUCUUGAUUCAGUG